AUGACUCUCGGCAACGGAUAUCUCGGCUCUCGCAUCGAUGAAGAACGUAGCGAAAUGCGAUACUUGGUGUGAAUUGCAGAAUCCCGUGAACCAUCGAGUCUUUGAACGCAAGUUGCGCCCGAAGCCAUUAGGUUGAGGGCACGUCUGCCUGGGUGUCACGC
RNAcentral lists this ribosomal RNA (161 nucleotides) under Lotus palustris. RNAcentral's name for it is "5.8S ribosomal RNA". It matches the Rfam family "5.8S ribosomal RNA". Rfam says of the family: 5.8S ribosomal RNA (5.8S rRNA) is a component of the large subunit of the eukaryotic ribosome. It is transcribed by RNA polymerase I as part of the 45S precursor that also contains 18S and 28S rRNA. The record is from RNAcentral. Lineage: Eukaryota; Viridiplantae; Streptophyta; Magnoliopsida; Fabales; Fabaceae.